GACGAACGCUGGCGGCGUGCUUAACACAUGCAAGUCGAACGGAAAGGCCCUGCUUUUGUGGGGUGCUCGAGUGGCGAACGGGUGAGUAACACGUGAGUAACCUGCCCUUGACUUUGGGAUAACUUCAGGAAACUGGGGCUAAUACCGGAUAGGAGCUCCUGCUGCAUGGUGGGGGUUGGAAAGUUUCGGCGGUUGGGGAUGGACUCGCGGCUUAUCAGCUUGUUGGUGGGGUAGUGGCUUACCAAGGCUUUGACGGGUAGCCGGCCUGAGAGGGUGACCGGCCACAUUGGGAAGGGGAAACGGCCCAGACCCCUACGGGGGGCAGCAGGGGGGAAUAUGGCAAAAGGGGCGGAAGCCUGAUGCAGCAACGCCGGGUGCGGGAUGACGGCCUUCGGGUUGUAAACCGCUUUCGCCUGUGACGAAGCGUGAGUGACGGUAAUGGGUAAAGAAGCACCGGCUAACUACGU
RNAcentral lists this ribosomal RNA (467 nucleotides) under uncultured bacterium. RNAcentral's name for it is "partial 16S ribosomal RNA". It matches the Rfam family "Bacterial small subunit ribosomal RNA", at positions 28 to 506 of the family's 1533-position model. The record is from RNAcentral.